RNAcentral lists this long non-coding RNA (1083 nucleotides) under Amborella trichopoda. RNAcentral describes it as "long non-coding RNA (ATRI_LNC003902)". The record is from RNAcentral. Lineage: Eukaryota; Viridiplantae; Streptophyta; Magnoliopsida; Amborellales; Amborellaceae.
GAGAAUGAGCCUUUUAUAAAAGAUUAAUCUACUAUAUCAUGAAUUCAAUCACUCAUUGUGCUCUAUUUAUAUUUAUUUGUCAUGUCGAGUGCAUUUUUUUGCAUGUAUUUACAUGUAAGUAUCAAGAUAAUUUACAAACUCAAAUCAUCACACACACCAAUUGGCAUUAAAAGUCAUGUUGUUUGUGCUACCUUCUACACAUACGCGCACCAAUUAGCAAUAAAAGACAUGUCGUUUAUGCUACCUCUUUCUUGCUUAUAAGUUGGAAUUGGCUCAUUUGUUAGUGAUCUCGAUGUAGUUCCUUUGUUCAUUGAGUCAUUUAUGGGGUAUUCUCAAUUGGGUUUCAUUUGCUUUUGUCAUUCGUGCUGUGAUUAAGCCCCGCUAGCUUGCUGAUAUUUAUGAUGGGUGAGCUGUUUUCGAGAUGAGUUCAACUAGAUUCUGUCGUGAACCGUUAACUGUGUUUUAUUCAAUAAAAAUUCAUGUAGUAUAAGGUUUCACAUUACUUGCUUCGCAAUCUAAACUGAGGAUAUCUAAUCAUGGUAAAGUGCAAAAAAGUAGGAGUCAUAAUAAUUGAUGAAGGAUAUGAUCAUAUUCUCAAUGAGAAAUAUAGAAAGAACUUUUCAUGGUCGUAAAAAAUAUAUUUUUGUUCUAAUUCCUAUUUGAUUGGUUUAGUUGUACCGUAGUAAAUAGAAUUCAGAAAUGAAAGAAAGAGGACAAUGAAACAAUCCAGAUUCGUGGUGCAACUAUUAUUGCAUUAGGUUACUACAUUAGAGAAGAGGGUUUCUUGUUUACUUGGUUACACUGUUUUUUGAAAUGGGGUUGAGCUGAAUUCUCAAUUGGUGUGUUAGGGAUCAUUCUGGUUGUAUUUAUGCAAAAUUUGGGGUUUUGGGGAAAUGCACUUUUGUGUGGUUCUCCAAAUUUUGAGUUAUAGGUUAUGAUGAAUUGGGUAUUUGGAGAAUUUCGAUUUAAUGUGAGUUUAGUUCGUCUUUCAUUUUGUUGUCCCUUCCCAUUUGUCCAUUUCUUGGCUGCUCCUUCCAUUGUAAAAAAAAAAAAAUGGAAUUGAUUCAAUUGUAUAUUUUCUUA